GACAUGGAAUCAACCUAAAUGUCCUUUAAUGGUGGACUGGAUAAAGAAAAUGUGGUAUAUAUACACCAUGGGAUACUAUGCAGCCAUAAAAAAGAACAAGAUCAUGUCUUUUGCAGGAACAUAGAUGGAGCUGGAGGCUGUUUUUUCUUAGCAAACUAAUGCAGGAAUAGAAAAACAAAUACCACAUGUUCUCACUUACAAGCUGGAGAUGACAUGGACAUGGACACAAAGAGGGGAACAACAGACACUGGAGCCUAUUGAAGGUGGAUGAUGGAAGGAGGGAGAAGAUCAGGAAAAAUAGUA
Molecule: long non-coding RNA, 303 nt
Filed under: Homo sapiens (human)
Lineage: Eukaryota; Metazoa; Chordata; Mammalia; Primates; Hominidae
Description: long non-coding RNA NONHSAT204100.1
Source: RNAcentral